UACAGAGGGGGCUAGCGUUGUUCGGAAUUACUGGGCGUAAAGGGCGCGUAGGCGGCCCGCUAAGUCGAACGUGAAAUCCCCGGGCUCGACCUGGGAACUGCAUCCGAAACUGCCUUGCUAGAGUAUGGGAGAGGGAAGUGGAAUUUCCGGUGUAGCGGUGAAAUGCGUAGAUAUCGGAAGGAACAUCAGUGGCGAAGGCGACUUCCUGGACCAAUACUGACGCUCAGGUGCGAAAGCGUGGGGAGCAAACAGG
RNAcentral lists this ribosomal RNA (253 nucleotides) under uncultured bacterium. RNAcentral's name for it is "partial 16S ribosomal RNA". It matches the Rfam family "Bacterial small subunit ribosomal RNA", at positions 524 to 776 of the family's 1533-position model. The record is from RNAcentral.